UGCUCUAGGGCUCAUGCGGCCGGUCGCGUACCGGACCCGGGUGCUGGGUUCGGGGCGUGACAGAGUGGUAUCAGAGCUUAAGGUUGAGGUAUCCUAGGGUUUAUGUUCAGGUGAGUAUCAGUGGAAAAUUAUGAUAGAAAAACUAUCAGAGAUUUGGUUUAUAAUCACUUGAGAUUGUAACAAGAAUGAUAUUAUAAUCUAAGGUUUAAGACCACUAGGGACU
RNAcentral lists this long non-coding RNA (223 nucleotides) under Phoenix dactylifera (date palm). RNAcentral's name for it is "long non-coding RNA (PDAC_LNC019098)". Lineage: Eukaryota; Viridiplantae; Streptophyta; Magnoliopsida; Arecales; Arecaceae. The record is from RNAcentral.